GGUUGAUCCUGCCAGUAGUCAUAUGCUUGUCUCAAAGAUUAAGCCAUGCAUGUCUAAGUAUAACGACCUUAUACUAGAAAACUGCAGAUGGCUCAUUAUAUCAGUUAUAGUUUAUUUGAUUGUGCUUACUACUUGGAUAACCGUAGUAAUUCUAGAGCUAAUACAUGCGCAAACACCCGACUUCUGGAAGGGUGGUAUUUAUUAGAUACAAAACCAACUCGGGCUUGCCCGGUUCCUGGUGAUUCAUGAUAACUUCGCGAAUCGUAUGGCUUUACGCCGACGAUGGUUCAUU
This 292-nucleotide ribosomal RNA is filed under the name uncultured eukaryote. Its description in RNAcentral is "partial 18S ribosomal RNA". It matches the Rfam family "Eukaryotic small subunit ribosomal RNA", at positions 6 to 299 of the family's 1831-position model. The record is from RNAcentral.